GCCCCGGUAGCUCAGUGGAUUAGAGUAAGCGGCUUCUAUCCGUUAGGUCGUAGGUUCGAAUCCUACCCGGGGUGCCA
This 77-nucleotide transfer RNA is filed under the name Candidatus Saccharimonadota bacterium. RNAcentral describes it as "tRNA-Arg". It matches the Rfam family "tRNA". Rfam says of the family: Transfer RNA (tRNA) molecules are approximately 80 nucleotides in length. The record is from RNAcentral. Lineage: Bacteria; Candidatus Saccharimonadota.